Non-coding RNA from Hydra vulgaris (swiftwater hydra), 958 nucleotides. NCBI's taxonomy places the organism in Eukaryota, Metazoa, Cnidaria, Hydrozoa, Anthoathecata, Hydridae. The record is from RefSeq and is a predicted model, not a curated record.
CAAAUUUUAUUGAAAAAUAUUAUUGAGCAGAUAGAUAGAGUCUAUAAAAGUGAGCAGUUUUGGUACCUCAUUUCUGUUUUUCUGAUUUCCGUAAGUGGGUGGUAAGAGGGGUACGAACAAGUUGAAUUUUAUUAGGUUGUGGGUAACCAUUACCACCCUAUUCAACAAACUUCUCAACUUAACCAAAAUUUACGAAUAGCAGCGAAAAGACUUUUUUUUCAAAAGUAGGCUCGGUUGUGGUCUUUAUCUUUAGCUUGUAGGUUAUACUUGGUGCCAAAAGACUAAUUCAGGUUGGGGGGGGGCACACGCUCCUCGCACAAGUCAAUAAACACACCACCAAUAAAUGAAAUUCUUGUAACAAAAAAAAAUUUCAUGUUUUUUAUACUGUGUACUAGUUUCACUUAUUUUAUUAAAUAAAUAAAUAUUUAUUUAUAAUUAGAGAAUUAAAUAUUUUUGAAAUUAGGGUGUGUUAAACCAUCACCACCAUAUCCAUCACCAACUUUAAUAAACAUCAAUCAUUAAUAGUCUGGAAUAAAAUUAUAGCAACUUUUUGUAAAAAAAAAUAACCGUUUGUUAAAAUAAAACACUUUUUAUUGAUAGAAAUAUGCUUAUUUUUAGGGUAAAGGUGGUGGUUCGGCACCCCCUCUAGCCCCCAGGAAAUGCCCAAUAGGUGGACGAUAUUAUAAAUUUGUAGCCCACAGUUACACCUAUCUUUUGAUACUAAGUUAUAGGUACUUAGAUAAGAAUUGAAAAAUUUAUAACAAUUUAAGUUAAGAAAAACUAAAUUUUGACCACAGUUUCUUCAACAAAUCCGUAUAUCAAAAGAUUGCGACUAAAAACGUUAUAACUUUUUGUAGAAUAUUCCGAUUUUAAUAAUUUUUUCACCUUCAAAAUACUGUAUUGAAGCACUUUCCAAUGAUAUAUAACAAUCUAACCUUUGAUCAAUUUAAAAUUUUCA